CUCGUUCUUCGAAUAGUCAUUCCGGCGAUUGUCGUCAACUAGCAAGCUUAUCUCUACUUCAGGAGCACAACAGCAUCAACUUCAUCCGACGAGUUUGGUGUCAAACAAUAUCUCUGUGACAUCAAUGAUCCAUACCCUUACCAGUGCCCUCCCGGCAUGAUCUGCCUGCCAGCACCCGGACCAACAGGGGGCGAGUGCAUGCCUUUUAAGAAGUGAAUGGCAAAUGUUGAAGUUCCAAAAUGCCAACAGCCGUGGGAUGAUGAAGUCGCAAUUGAUUAUUUAUUACGGUGAAGGGUUUAAGUUGUAUUGUCUUUGCCUUGUACGAGUUAAAUGAGACUUUUGAAAUUAACAUGUAGUUGAAAUUCCCACAAGGAACAAAAUGUUGAUUAAAUAGCUAACUCCCGUGAGUAAAUUAAUGACACAUUUUCCGAUUACCAUUUUAAUCUGAUCCUAAUCUGAAUCUUUAUCUGGAAAUGAACAACAACACCCGAUGGGUGUCACGAUUGUGAAGCUACCACUGCGAGUUUCUCUGACACAAUUUCCUACGGGAAAUGUUUCCUUUGCAUCACAUAUAUUCAUCAUGUUGUCUUGUUGUUAUUCAGCCAAUAUUAGGCCUCUCUUUAAAACCUGUUGAAAUCAGUUUUCACUUACAAGACAUUAUACAGCGAAGACUUCAAACUGACCUGUAGUCUAAUUGAAACUCAUAGGCUUACGCAUAUCUGAACUAAACGAAAGCAUGAAAAGUCAUUCUGGGUGGUGGGUCUUAAUUAUUGUAAUCACACUUUUAAGAUUUUCUGUUGAAUAAAUGUUGUUGGCAUGGUAUGAGCUCCUGCGACUAAA
Molecule: long non-coding RNA, 840 nt
Organism: Patiria miniata (bat star)
Lineage: Eukaryota; Metazoa; Echinodermata; Asteroidea; Valvatida; Asterinidae
Exons: 4
Source: RefSeq, a predicted model, not a curated record